CAGCAGCCACGGUAAUACGUAGGGUGCAAGCGUUAAUCGGAAUUACUGGGCGUAAAGCGUGCGCAGGCGGUUUGUUAAGACAGAUGUGAAAUCCCCGGGCUUAACCUGGGAACUGCAUUUGUGACUGGCAAGCUAGAGUAAGGCAGAGGGGGGUGGAAUUCCGCGUGUAGCAGUGAAAUGCGUAGAUAUGCGGAGGAACACCGAUGGCGAAGGCAGCCCCCUGGGCCAAUACUGACGCUCAUGCACGAAAGCGUGGGGAGCAAACAGGAUUAGAUACCCCAGUAGUCCCUGUCUCUUAUAC
RNAcentral lists this ribosomal RNA (301 nucleotides) under uncultured bacterium. RNAcentral's name for it is "partial 16S ribosomal RNA". It matches the Rfam family "Bacterial small subunit ribosomal RNA", at positions 509 to 807 of the family's 1533-position model. The record is from RNAcentral.